Rhipicephalus microplus (southern cattle tick) is the source of this 307-nucleotide long non-coding RNA. The record is from RefSeq and is a predicted model, not a curated record. Lineage: Eukaryota; Metazoa; Arthropoda; Arachnida; Ixodida; Ixodidae.
CGUGCGUCUCGAUGGAGCGCGCCUCUACAGUUUCACGACGAGAACUAACCACAGAUGGAAUCACAAUCUCGUCGAUUUCAAGACAACCCAAGACAAGUAUCAGUUGGUCAUUCAAGUGCAUAUUGAGAAAGGCCUGAUUGCACUCGAUGACUUGGAAGUCACAUCUGGACCAUGUCCCGCCAGAGACUUUUGCUCAUUUGAGCCUGGCUACCACUGUCCAAUUCAUCAAGGGGCCGGAAACUUCGCCUCCUGGACUGGUCACAACAGCCGAAGACAUCGGCGUCCCAGAUCACACAAUCAAGACACU